GGUUGAUCUGAAAUGAUUAAAGAAGCAUGUCUAUUUAGAUGUGUACCAUAAAUGAAGGGUUUCCAGCACUGCCUACCUGAUCUGGUUUAUAGUUCACAACUGCCCAAUUAUCCUUCUACCAUCUUAGAACUCACAAUCUCAUUUAAAAGCAAAACAAAACAAAAAAAAAACCAGAAACUAAACUUUGUAUUUCUUACCACUAUAUUCAUCCAGCACUGACUUUCCAUUCACAGUGUUGUAACCUAAGACACAGUUUUUCUACUAAGGUCUGUCCAGCAUUUUAUGGAUGCUCCUCUAACAAGCAAUCUCUCUGUCCUCAAAAGAAUUUAUAACAAAAGAAAACUGCUUAGUCUAGUUAAGAGUUUUUUCACACAAAGACAGAUAGACACCCACCAAAGUCUCUUUCUGUUGUCUCCUCUGAAAGCUAUAAUAAUGUCACGUCACUGUGGCUUGUCUCACAGCAGCCGGAAAUAUGCCUGUCACUGAUGCAACUCGAGUCACAGAAUAUUUGUUUUUCCUUCUGCGUCACUUGCACCAGUAAUAAACUAAACUAAUCUACAAUAGACAAGCUCCUGCUUUUUGCUUUUCUCUUUAAAACAUUAGCUCUGAGAAUAUAGACACAUUCCAAAGUGCUUCUUGUAAAGGAGAGGAGUGGGUGGGGAAUAAAAGGAAAUAGCCAACAUUUUAAGUCACAAACUGUUCAGAACCCCUUUUAAAGCAAUUGGAAUGGAACAUUUAGAUUUGAUAUUCUGGCUCUAACCAAUCUCAGAUAGCAUUUCACCUGCCACUGCUUCUCCCUCCAAUGGAAAUCAGUGUUUAGAAUGAAAGCCCUCCCCAGCCAAUCAUGUGCAAGCUCAGGCACUCAGUUAAUGAUGCAGCAGUACAGGGAAGACUAUCACAUGUGAGCUGGAAGGCUGCCAACAUGGAGACACGCAGAGAGAAAGGUAAACAACUUUCCGAGGCCAAAAUGAUGACAUUUAAUUCUUAAAUGCAAUCUUCUUAACUCACCCUCUGUCAGCUGGUCUGGGGCUUCACAAUGUACCUGUCCCCUCUCCCUCCCCAAACCAAUGCUUUCCAAACCUAACAACAUGCCAAGCAAAGAUCCCUGCGUCAUCAUUUGUCCAUUUGCCACUUUCUUAACUCUGCAGAUACAGAUUCUCGCUUUAAAGAUCCAGAGUGUUUUGAUAAACCCCUCUACCAACUUCUUGAUUUAAUAAGGAAACUGGGGAAGGGGGUGUUAGAUGGUACCCUCUGCAAAGCUGCUGUUCUAUUUCCCUUCCUCCUUUCUUGACUCUCCAUUAUAGCUAGCUAUGCACUGACAUUUUACAACUUGUGCCUUCAUUCCAUUGGUCUGAUGCAGGACACAGAAACAACAUUUAGCCAUAGGAAAAUAAUACUGGAUGAAAAGUUUCAGGGAUGGGAGGACAGAAAGAUACCUCUAGCCACAUACAUACAAAGUGAGACACUCAGUUCAAUUCACCCCCCCAACUCCGAUAAAAAAUAAUACGUACGUAUUUAAUAGAGGAACCAUGAGAUCUGUUCAUCUAUACACCUGUGCAGUCCUCAACCCUCUGUUCGCUCUGCCGCAGCACAGAACAUUCCAGAAUUUUCCACCCAUUAACCUUUCCUAUAUCUGCCCCCCCCCCACCUUUGAGGGAUUAUUGCGUCGCAUCUUUCCGGUACCAUCAAUGGACAAAAUCCACUGAUCCUCAACAAGUUCCCAAAUAAUGUUUCUUUAAAGAAAAAAAAACAUGCUGGACUGAAAAGGAACCAUGCUUCCCAAUGUUGUUAUUACUUCUCUUGCAUGAUCUCUCUCUCUGUGUCUCUUGCUGCAGUAGGCUGUUGCUAGUAGACCUAUCGACAGAGCUGGUUCUCACUCUCUCCCUCUGAGCUGUGUGACGCAGCUCAAAAUUCUCCAGGCUGCUCCUUGUGUUUUAACAACAGAACUGCAGCUUUCCCCUGGAGAGCCGAUGCUAGCAGUACCAGGGCCAGACAAACCAAGACAGAAAGUCACUCCCCAGUUAAGCACCCAAGUUAUUUAUAUCUCCCUGUUCUCCCCUCACCUUGGCUUCUCUGCUUCAUUUCCACUCUUCCCUCACGUUUUGCAUCAUCAGCUUCUCGUGGCUCUGCCACAGCUACAUUUGCUCAGUUAACUCUUUUAGGAGUGGCAGUUACAGGUUCCACUCUUGAACAACAGAACUGGAAACAGAGUUGUUUGCUUUUGAGUGGGUGCAGGAGAUCUGACCCAAGCAAAUACAACUGUGCUCAAAACAGAGGACACUUUCCAAGCAGCCAUGCAAUAUCUGAAUUAAUCCCUUUAAAGGACAGAGAACAUCAUCAGUUCCAAGAAAACAGAUGCUUUCCUCCAGGACUGGACACACUCUCCAAAUGGAAGCAAGCACAUGAAAAACAGCAGUAGUCUAUACUGAAAGUGUGAAAGCUGCACCCUUAAAAAUGGAAAAUCCAUCAUCUUCCCCAAUACUUGACAAGCACUGAAGUUAUCGGAGUGUAACUCAUUCAGUCAUAGAAAUCAGAACCUUAAGAAGGAUGGAGAACAAGAAUAAAUGCCACUGAAACUUGAUUCUAUGUAAAGAACAUUACCUGAGGCUUAACUUGAAUGAUAUUUGAUGUAUUGGUCUCCAUUCCAUUGUGUAAGUUGAAUGUAGAGUUCUACAACUGGUGAAUUCUGUUAGGUAAAUUUCAGCUUGUUAUCCUACAACUAAAGUCUGGGGGUGGCGAUGGGACUCAGAUACAGAAGCAAGGACACAUUAGCGGAUGUUGAGACGUGAGGUACUGAGCUUUGUGCAUCCAUGUCCUGAGUUUCCAUAGGUAACCGUAGCAACCUGAAUUCUCAUAGCAAGGGGCCUGUUUAGCUGAUUACCGUAGAAAGGGCCUAAAAUUAUAUCCUUAGUCAUCUUUAGUGUUUCAAACAUGUGUAUGAAUGUCCUCUCCUUGUUUCAUUAAACUGAGUAAUUAAAAUACAAAAUAAAUUGAAAAAGGAUAGGGCAUAAGAUUAACAAUGAAGAUACUAUAAUAAUAUGGAUUCUAAGCAAUGUGACUGGUUACUUGGCAACCAAAAAGAGGUGUAUCAGAAAAAAAUGAAUUACAAUUAUAGAAGUAGUUAUUCUGGCAGCUUUUAGAGAAGGCUUUUGAACAGAGCUUUCUUAGUGCAUCUGAUUUAGGAAAACAAGCAGAAAUUAUGUUUACAAAACAUGCAUUUGCUAUUCCUAGUUAAAUACUUUGAUUUUAUUACCUAUUAACCAGACAGGAAAAGCACAGGGAGAACCUUCCCAUUUGAGGCAUGUUUUAUCCUUUUUGUUUAUUUUUUUCUGUUAAGAACAAGUCCAGAUAUAGUAACAUGGAGGGGACAAAUAAUACUUUUAACUAUUAGAAUAGAUCAGACAAUCCUAUGUUAAUACCUAUUAGUUUUUAAAGAUAGCAAAGGCAUAUAGAGAUGCCUUUACAAUAUCAAUACCCUCCUCUUUAUGAAACAGCAGUAUAUGCACUUGUGCAGACAUGCACAGACAUUUUUAUAUUGCUACAAAACAUUCAACUAUACAAUAUGGCCUUUCUGUUUAAAUGCUGUUUGUAUGUGGUAUUUUUCUACAAACAUUAUCCAACUUUCUUCACUCAACUUCCUUUAUGAAAAAUCCAACCAAGCAAACACUUUGAAACUGCUACAAAUGGCAACUGCACUAGAGGUACUGAAGAGCCCUAUCUAACCCAAAAAGCUUGCUGGUAAAUCUAUGAGGGAGCUAUUGAACUGACAAAUUAGAUCCCUGGUAGAAACUGGCCCAAUGCUGAAGUGUUACCUCCUUCCUACAGAUAAAAAUACUUCAGCUCUUCCAUAGUGUAUUUGCCAGCAACUCUAUCUUGUUCACUAACGGAUCCAAAACAAUCAAAUCUCCAAUGCUGUAACUUAUUCCAAAUUCUAUUGGUCUGGUUAUUGUACUUCUCUUGGGUCUACCAAAGAAGCACUCAACUCUUUAUAUUCUUUGGUCAAAACAUUGUAAUUGCUUGUCCUUUCUUCUCUCAUUUUCACUGUCAAACUUGUAAUUUGGCACAGGUUUGACUGGGGUUCACUUAACACCCAAUUACUUUCUCUGUGAUUCUUAGUAUUCUAUUUGGGGGGCCUAAUCCCCUUUGCAUGGCAUAAUUUUUCAUUUCUUUUCAUGACUCAUUUCAAUGCUUUAUUUGCUUAUUACCCAAAGCACCUAGUGCAAAUGAAGGCCCAUGCAUACAUUAGUGAGAACUGUCACUGAUAAUUCCAUUAAUAUCUUUUCUGGUGGCAUGAUAUCCUAUAGUAAGUAACUAUGUGGUGGUUAGGCAAAAAAAAAA
Crotalus tigris (Tiger rattlesnake) is the source of this 4338-nucleotide long non-coding RNA. RefSeq lists it as uncharacterized. The record is from RefSeq and is a predicted model, not a curated record. Lineage: Eukaryota; Metazoa; Chordata; Lepidosauria; Squamata; Viperidae. The transcript has 3 exons.